UAUACCAAGAAACUCCAUCAAAUCAAGUCCUAAACAUCUUUAUUCCUUGAAUCAAGAACUAGUUUGGAGGGAUUUUCAAGCUUGAAGCAAAAGAGAAGAUUUUUAUCCUUCCUUAAAUAAUUGAGUAAGUACUAGAUCUAUUUAGAUCUAAGCUUGAUUGAGUUAUAUAUGUGUAUAAAUGGUUUAGAUCUAGCAAGAAAACAUCUUUUUUCUUUUUCUUUUUGUAAUUUUCGAAAUUUAGGGGUUCUCCCCUUCAAAAAAUUUUCUUAUUCUUUUCUUAAUUUGGCAUGAGAUCUAUGCUUAUUGAGGUGUUUUGAGAUGAUUUCUAUGUGUAUUGAGGGGCUUUGCCAUGAGAUAUGAUUUUUCAUUUAGGUUAGUUUGUUCUUAAAUUAGAAAUUCUUGAAUCUAUGGAUUAAAUGAUGAAUUGAUGGUGAAUAUGAGCUUAUGAGAUGACUAAUAUGAUAUUUGAUGGAGUAGAUUGAUGAAUGAAGUUGAUGGUCAAAUUUCGGUGAGAGUUAGUUUGAUGUGAUUUGGGUAAAACUUAUUCUAUGGUUUAAUUGAUUAAUUGAUUGGUUAAUAAUGCAAUCAGGUGAUUCAAUUUGAUUAAUCUAAGGUUGGAUUAAGGAUUUAUGCAUGUUUGUAGAUUUUUCAAAAAGUUUAGUUUGUUAAAAAUUGGGACUUUGUGAUCUAUGUGUUAAUUGAUUAAAUUGGCUAAGUUUAAUUGUUAUUAAGCAUGAUAGAAAUGAUAAUUAGGAUCAAUUUGGUUAAUUGUCAAGAAUUCCUAAAAUUGGUUAAGUUUAGUUUACUAAUAAUUGGGAACUUUUGAUUAAUGAGAUAACUACUUGAAUUGAUGAUGUUUAUAUGUUAGUUAGACUACUAGCAAUGAGAAAGCAUGAUAAAUUUGGUUAAUGAUGUGAUUUGUGAAAGUUUCUCGAGUUUAGUUUACGUGCAUACAUGAGAUCUUAUAUAUAAGAUGAGUUAUGAGUUGAGCAUGUUUAUGUAUGGCUAUUUGAUGAUUAAUUGAGCUUGUAUAUGCGAUAUGAGACGAAACGGACCAACUCCUAAUGACUUAUGUGUUGGCCGAAUGUAAGGAGAAAAAGGGGAAGUCGAUGUUUGAAUUUUCUUGAGUUAUAUGAUCAUGUAUUUAUGUUAUUGUGAUUUAUAUGAGCUUAAUUUGAAUUUUUGAGAAUUUUUCAUCGAAGAAGUCCGGAAUUUAGGUAUAUUUGCUUUAUGCUCAAGUUUGGAGUUAAUUUGAGAACCUUUUUAAAGGCUACUGACCUACUGUUUUCGACGUGAUUUUGAUAUCCAAAAGCCAUGAAAAUUUUAUGGUAAGUAUAUUUGAGAGUUUUGAGCACACUGGUAAAAUUUCAAGCCAUUCCAACUUCGUUUGAUAUUUUUUUAAAAUGCAAAACCUAAACUGCACAUUACUACCGAGAGUUUCAGAGAACAGGGGAAAGAGUCAUUCAUUUCAGUAGCUUCCUGUGUGAUCUAGCUUUCCAAUUUUUUAUGGUAUUAACCUUAUUGUGUUAGCUAGAUAUCCACCAGAUUUGAGUCCAUUUUGACAACGUUUACUAUUUUUCAAAAAUCUAAGUUUUCUAUUGCCAAAACUGCCGAAUGUGGUAGACUGUAGUAAAACAGUCAUAUCUCCUAAAAUACUAGGAGUUUUUGACCCUAUUUUUUUUAAAUGAAACUAGACUCAAAGAGGUUUCGUUUGGUAUAGGUUACGACUCCAGGACAGUUCUGUACCGAGUCUGGUGAGGUUUUGAAGUUGAGUCAGUGCAGAGUGAAGUUUGUUUUUGACUUGUCUAUGUGUGUUUUUCAUAUGCUUAAGUGUUUAUGCUUGUUUAUGUGCUUAAAUGCUAUGAGUUUGAGCCGAGUUGAGAGUUAAGUCAAGAAUAGGACUUGUGAAUCCUUAGAAGUUGAGUAUACCUAGGGAUUGAGUUUUGUUGGGUAAAUAGACGUUGAGUGAGAAGUUAUAGUUUGAGAUGAGAUUGGAUUUAGUAAUUGAGUUUCUGACUAAGGUUUGUUUUAUCACAUGAACCUUCGAUGACGAUGAUGAUGAUAUAUGAAGGCCCGAGCGAGACGAAGAAGUAAGUCGCCUGAUUCUUUCCAGGAUUAGCGAAGGACUUCAGGUGGGCAAUAUUUUGAGUAUACAUAUAUCGUAUGAGCUUUCUAAAAUGAUUUGAUGAUGUUAUGAGUUUAUCAAAUGUUUUGAGAUAAAUGAUGUUUAAGAACUGUUUGACUUGCCAAUUUUUNUAGGUAUAAUUGCUUGUAUGUUCAAGUUUGGAGUCAUUUUAUGACCUUUUAUACCUACUGUUUCGUUGGGUUCUUGUUACCUAAAGACCUUGAAAAUUGUAUGAUAAGAUUAAAUAAGAGUCAGGAGCAUACCGGUAAAAUUUCAAGUCAAUUGGACUUUGUUUACUAUUUUUAUAAAAUAGAAAACUAAAACUGCUACCUUCUGCCGAAAUGUUCGGUGAGUAUCCAAUAGAGUCACCUCUUCCAGUGUCCUUCCCUAACUUUUUGGAGCCUAAAUUUUUAUUUUUAAGACAUGAGUGUCUUAUCUAAGUCCCCACCAAAUUUCAAGCCUUUUCGGCAACGUUUACUAUUUUUCAAAAAUCAAAGUUUUCAAUUGCUCAAAACUGCCGAAUAUGGUAGACUGUAGGAAAACAAUCAUAUCUCCUAAACUACUUGGAGUUGUUCAUCCUACUUUUUUUUGAAUGAAACUAGACUCAAAGAGGUUUUAAAUGGUAUAGGUCAUGACUCCAGUGGAGCUCUGUACCGAAUCUGGUGAAGUCUUUAAAUCGAGUCAGUGCAGAAUGAUGUUUGUUUGUGACAUGUCUAUGUGUGAAUUUAUAUGUUUAUGUGAUUAUGCUUGUUUAUGUGCUUGAUUGCUAUGGGUUUAAUUCGAGUUGAGUGUUAAGUCGAGAGUAGGACUUGUGAAUCCUUAGGAGUUAAGUAUACCUAGGGAUUGAGAUUUAUUUGGGUAAAUAGAAGAUGAGUGAUAAGUUAAAGUUUGAGACGAGAUUGGAUUUUAGUAAAUGAGUUUCUAACUGAGGUUUAUCUUAUCUCAUGAACCACUCCGACAUUGUGACAUCUGAAGAUACGAGCAGAGGACGGAGGUAAGAUCGUCCAAGUACUACGAGAGUAAGCUAAGUUUGUCAGGUGGCUAUUAUUUUGAUAUACCUAUUAUACGAGCUUUACUUAAAUGAUAUGAUACUUAUGAUUAUGAAUUGAGUUAAUGUUACGCUUGAAACUAAUUGACUUGCCGAGUUUUGUUAAUAAUGACUUGUGUGUUACCCUCUACUGUUGAGACGAAUUCGGUCAUGCCACAAGCGGGAUUUUGUGCACAGAGGUGACUGUGAGCCGUCUAUCGGGUCGGCCGGUCACGGUACUUGAGAGGGAGGCCUACUUCUCAGUACCUUUAAUGAUGAGUAGUGGAUGUGGUACAUACAUAAUGAAUGUUUAAACUGCGCAGUUACUUUAUUAUGAUGCUAUGAUUUGCGAAAUUGCAUGCACAAGUUCUUCUCUAACUAAAACCCUUGUGCGUUGCUUAAUGUGGCAAGUUCAAUUUAUAGCUCUAAGAGCAAGCUUUCUUUUGUUUUUCGGCAUAUGUACACUGAGUACUUUGUACUCAACCCUGCAUGUAUUUCUAAAUGUGCAGGAUAAGCGAGAAGGAGGAAGAUCGGUCUGGUGCUGGUGGGGACUUUUUGGACGACGUUGUUCCUUUUACCGUAUUUAUAUUACAUACGGUAGCUUUUUGAUGUCGAUGUUUAUAUUUUGGACUUAGUCAAGAAGUAUACUCUCGGCUAUAUGUCUUCAUACAUAUAGUCUGUUCACAUUUUGCUGCGAGACUCUGUAAAUUAUGAACCUUUGUGAAUAUUUAACUAUGUCCGCUUUGUAAACUUUGUCGAGAAUCCCUGUACUUUUGAACUUACGAAGCUGAUAAUAUUUGUGUCUUUGAGAUGAUGUUAUUGUUAUUCACUUUUGCUUGUGUUGUUGUGAGCUUCCGCUUGUUGUUUGAUCUAGUUUUUCCUUCUUUACUUCAUUAUUUUAUUUAGUCGUAUCGAUACUCGGUCUACGCUAUCACUGGCUAGACGUCGGGCUGCGACAACUUGAUUGGGGGGCAUUGAUAUCUUGAAGGACUUGGAUUGAUUUGUGUUUGUUUGGUGAGAAGAAUCGCUUGUGGAUUUCCUUUCGAUGUUGUGAUUGUUGCUUGAGGACAAGCAAGGACUUAAGUGUGGGGGGGUUGUUUAGUCCUAUUUUGUGAUGAUUUUACGGGUCUUUUUGUUGUGCAUUCGAGCAUGCUUCGUGUCUUUUUGAUCUAUCCUUCACUUGCUCG
Molecule: long non-coding RNA, 4339 nt
Filed under: Salvia miltiorrhiza (redroot sage)
Lineage: Eukaryota; Viridiplantae; Streptophyta; Magnoliopsida; Lamiales; Lamiaceae
Description: long non-coding RNA (SMIL_LNC007089)
Source: RNAcentral